This is a non-coding RNA of Camellia sinensis, 373 nucleotides long. Lineage: Eukaryota; Viridiplantae; Streptophyta; Magnoliopsida; Ericales; Theaceae. The record is from RefSeq and is a predicted model, not a curated record.
UUGAAGCCUUCUCUCUCUCUCGCUAUAUAUAUGAGCAAACGAAGUGGUUGCUGGGAAGCCCUAGCCGCAUACAGAGAAUAAAGAGGAGUAGGAGAACCAAAGCAAUUGCUGCGAAAACCCCAAGCAUUUUCAGAGACAAAAAAAAAGAAGUGUGGAAUAGAAUCUCCCAUAAUAAACAGAGACUAGAUCACAUUCUUCAUCACUUUGUUUUCAUCAUUUUAAUGGGUUGAGACUCGAAAGGGCCGAGAGACAUGCCCCCUCAGUCUUCAGGUUGUUUACUUGGAAGUUUUGAUGGCAUGAGUGGAGUCGGAAAAAAAAUAAAAUAAGGUAUUCUUCGCUUCUCAUUAUCGUGUGUAUUUUCCUUAUUUAAUUA